ACGUCAGGAGGCGCGAGAGGUGGUGGAGCCGGCUGGGUUCGCCGCGGCUCCGGCUUUGUCUACCCACAGAGUGGGGCGCGGGCCUUGGGCACCCAACGCCGCCGAGCAGACAAAGGACGCGGCCUGCGCGGCAGACACCGGGCCAAAUCAUCUGUUCCACUGGGCUGCGAGCUGGACCCGGGGCGGGGAGUCCCCUAUGGGUAGCGUCUCCACCCUUCUGAACAAUGGGGGCGCCGGAGCCGCACCCGGAUUCGGGCGGGGGCUGGGUUACAUCCCCGCAAUGGGCGACGAUAGUGGCAGCUAUGAUCUAGAUGGAGCUCCCUUCUCAUUCUGUUGCUUAAGACUGCUGGCCUCGGCCCUGCGGGCUCGGCGCUGCCGUCCCCAUUUCGGAGAUGGGGAAACUAAAGCUCUUGCUGACAGCAAGCCAACCACUGUGCCCCCAGUAAGCACCUGCUGAUGGCCUGGCCCUGCACUUAGCCGGAUGGGACGGCCUGGAGCCCCAUCAUGAGCACAAGAGGGUAUGGAGGAGACUAACUCUUUAUGCACACUUUAUGCCCAGAACCUCGAAAAGAAUAGAAUAGGACCAGGUUGAAUUUCAGUUCCUUGUCUCUUGCUGAGUGGUUUUGUGGCUCAAGCAGUUUUCUUAACCACUUAAAUGGUGAGAUUAGACGGCACACCCCAUCCCCCUCACAGAGUUGUGAAAAUGAAAUCAUGUACUUGAAGGGCUUAACCCAAUGCUUGGCCCCGCCGUUGUAAACCGUCAUUAAUGCUAACCACUUGGGGUUGCACUGUGUCAGGACAAGUCUACUGUUGGAAAGCAGCCUGCACUGCCUCUGGGUCCCCAGAGAUUCCUGCCUGUUGCCAGCAUUGGGGCUGGGCUGAUAACAGAGGUUGACCCUGGAUGACAUUAAACUCUGCAGGAAGUUGGAAAUCAGGCAGGCAAACUUGCACCAUAACCCAGGAUCCAGUGCUGCCUGACAUUGUAGCCUCAGCCGAUCAACUUUUAGGUGUAGCCUGACAGGACAAGUUUGUCAUCUGAUGGCUUAAUUCCAUCCCAUCAGCCUUACUAUAAACCCAGUCCUGGCCUCUCCUAGGAUGUUUGCUUGCCUUUGUGCAUGAUUUCCCAUUAGUCAUUCUCCUCUAACCAGACAGGCAGGAUGAGAUUUGUGUGUGAACUCCUAUGUGUUAACAAAAGCAUGCAUUUAUUUGCCUGAGUGAGUAGUGGGUGGGGAGAAGAUAUGUUCGAGCUUUCAUAUGAAAGCAUAAACACAUUUGUAAGUCUCUCUGUGAAGAUUGUAUGUACCUAUGAGUCUGCAAAUAUAAGAACUUGUAUU
Molecule: non-coding RNA, 1334 nt
Organism: Arvicanthis niloticus (Nile rat)
Lineage: Eukaryota; Metazoa; Chordata; Mammalia; Rodentia; Muridae
Source: RefSeq, a predicted model, not a curated record